GAAUAAGAAUGCAAACUGCAUAUUAGUUUCGACCUAAUUUCUUGGUAUAAAAUUACCCUUAUUUU
RNAcentral lists this transfer RNA (65 nucleotides) under Scalida pyrrhocephala. RNAcentral describes it as "tRNA-Arg". Lineage: Eukaryota; Metazoa; Arthropoda; Insecta; Blattodea; Blattellidae. The record is from RNAcentral.